CAUUAUCCUAUUCUUUGCAAGUGUUAUCAUUGUACCCUGUUUUUCCUUCCAAAUAAUCUUGUUUUUUACUGCCUUGGUAUAAAAAUAAAAGGUUUGAUAAAACAGUAAGUGAUAAAUUGUAAUACUUUUCCCAUACAAACAGGAAAAACACAAGGAUCCUUGYGAUAACCUUGAAAUGGCUGGAAAACAAACUAAAAAGAUACGCUGAAGGGCUUUUUUUAUUCUCAGCAGUGCUAGAAAAUAUGUACUCACAUCACAAGAGCAUGGAGUAUUAGUGCUAUGCAGACAAUAUCAGAGGUCAAUGCAGAAGUCUACUUAAACUGUCAUCAAGGCAAAUUUUCAAGUUUUUAUGACUUUGAAGGCUAAUUUUUCUUAAUUUUCCUUGGAUGUCUAAUUUAAAUUAUAUUGGCAACAGUUGGAUAAAGAGAAGGUGGAAGGUAACAGAAUUACUGCACAGACUCACAAGAAGUGAAAAUUGUGAAAACUUUACUGUUUACUCAUGGCAAGGAAAGAGACAACUUUAAGGGAAUUGGUUUGCUUAAAAAGAAACAGGAGUAGGCAAACCUGGUCAACAUUUUUUCAAUUUGAAAACUUUUUAGCGUGCAAGAGGUGAAAACAUAAGCUUUUCAAUUUUUACUUUUUCUCUCUGGUAGUAAUGAUUUUUUUUUUCUUUUUCAGACACUUCUAUUAACCUGUUUUGGUGCUUGUAGAAAGUAAGGAACUGUCUAACAUUCUGGAAAUCAGCAAAGUUGCUCAAGGAUUUAAGCCUGGAAGAAGAGAGCCAUUUACACAAGUAUCAGGAAGAGACAAGCCCACAGAGCUGAAAUUCCUUGUUAAGGUGGUUGUCGGAGAACGGAUGCAGAAAAUGGAAGUGUGGAACAAAGUCAUGAGCCUGAUGAGAAAUAGAAAUAUCAGAGAGCCUCAAAUCAAAGGAAGAGUUCUGAUUUUCUUACACAGAAACCAUUUGCUUUUCUCUGCCUUGGCAAAAUACAACUUGUUCAUUAUAUUGUGUGAGCCUUUGAUAUAAGUCAGCCAGAGAAACUACAGCAACCAAAACUUGAGUCCUAGUAGCCUGUGGUAAUACAAUCAUGUCAUCUCCUGAAGAUAUGGAAGAGAAGCGGUGCAACUGGCACACAGGGGCUUCAAUUUCCUGUUUACUU
This 1160-nucleotide long non-coding RNA is filed under the name Apteryx rowi (Okarito brown kiwi). RNAcentral's name for it is "lncRNA (ENSARWG00000003736.1)". Lineage: Eukaryota; Metazoa; Chordata; Aves; Apterygiformes; Apterygidae. The record is from RNAcentral.